GACGAACGCUGGCGGCGUGCUUAACACAUGCAAGUCGAACGGAAAGGCCCUGCUUUUGCGGGGUGCUCGAGUGGCGAACGGGUGAGUAACACGUGAGUAACCUGCCCUUGACUUUGGGAUAACUUCAGGAAACUGGGGCUAAUACCGGAUAGGAGCUCCUGCUGCAUGGUGGGGGUUGGAAAGUUUCGGCGGUUGGGGAUGGACUCGCGGCUUAUCAGCUUGUUGGUGGGGUAGUGGCGUACCAAGGCUUUGACGGGUAGCCGGCCUGAGAGGGUGACCGGCCACAUUGGGACUGAGAGACGGCCCAGACUCCUACGGGAGGCAGCAGUGGGAAAUAUGGCACAAUGGGCGGAAGCCUGAUGCAGCAACGCCGCGUGCGGGAUGACGGCCUUCGGGUUGUAAACCGCUUUCGCCUGUGACGAAGCGUGAGUGACGGUAAUGGGUAAAGAAGCACCGGCUAACUACGUG
This 468-nucleotide ribosomal RNA is filed under the name uncultured bacterium. RNAcentral describes it as "partial 16S ribosomal RNA". It matches the Rfam family "Bacterial small subunit ribosomal RNA", at positions 28 to 507 of the family's 1533-position model. The record is from RNAcentral.